Molecule: ribosomal RNA, 484 nt
Filed under: uncultured bacterium
Lineage: Bacteria
Description: bacterial SSU rRNA
Rfam family: Bacterial small subunit ribosomal RNA
Source: RNAcentral
AUUGAACGCUGGCGGCAUGCCUUACACAUGCAAAGUCGAACGGCAGCACGGGAGCAAUCCUGGUGGCGAGUGGCGAACGGGUGAGUAAUAUAUCGGAACGUGCCCGGUCGUGGGGGAUAACGUAGCGAAAGCUACGCUAAUACCGCAUACGAUCUAUGGAUGAAAGCGGGGGAUCGCAAGACCUCGCGCGAUUAGAGCGGCCGAUAUCAGAUUAGGUAGUUGGUGAGGUAAAGGCUCACCAAGCCGACGAUCUGUAGCUGGUCUGAGAGGACGACCAGCCACACUGGGACUGAGACACGGCCCAGACUCCUACGGGAGGCAGCAGUGGGGAAUUUUGGACAAUGGGCGCAAGCCUGAUCCAGCAAUGCCGCGUGCAGGAUGAAGGCCUUCGGGUUGUAAACUGCUUUGUACGGAACGAAACGGUGAGCUCUAAUACAGUUUGCUAAUGACGGUACCGUAAGAAUAAGCACCGGCUAACUACGUG